Long non-coding RNA from Carassius gibelio (silver crucian carp), 1729 nucleotides. RefSeq lists it as uncharacterized. Lineage: Eukaryota; Metazoa; Chordata; Actinopteri; Cypriniformes; Cyprinidae. The transcript has 2 exons. The record is from RefSeq and is a predicted model, not a curated record.
CAGAUUUAAAGAUAAAUUAAAAGAGGCUUCGAGGCGGAGGAAUUUGCCUCGAUCAUUUUUUGUAAUCGAGUAACUCGAGGAAUAAAGAAUCGUGAAAAUUUGUAUCAUGGUUUCCACAACACAACUGUUUCUAACAGGUUUUUUUUUUUUUUUUUUAAGUUGCUGCAAAAAAAAUCAGCUUUGCCAUCACAGGAAUAAAUGCUAUUUUAAAAUAUAUAAAAUAGAAAAAAAAAAGUUAUUUUAAAUUUUGUUCAUUUUAACUGUAUAUUUAAUCAAAUAAAUGCAGCCUUGGCGAACAUACAGAGGACUUUCAAAAACGUUUAAAAAAAAAAAGUACCCACCCAAACUUUUGAACACUAGUUUAUGCAAGUACAUACUAUAUGUGCUAUACAUGCUAGCACACAAAUGUGCAAUGGUCAUUAUUCUGAAAUAUUUAAUUCCAGACAGCUUUGUAAUAACAAUAUGCUUUCUUUUUGCUAAAGUUUUGAAAUGUUGCUUGUUUGAUGAAAAAAAAAAUGGUUUGCAUGUUGCUUAACAGAACUUGAUGCACAGCUCAGAAUAUGCAGAAUGAAAAAAAAAAUAUUCGAGAAGUAAUUGUGAGUAAUAAUCUAAUAUUUACUUUUUUUAUGGCUAUUACACACACACACUGGCAGUGUCACGAAGAAGAAACCUGAUCCUUCACCAGCUCCAGUCACCACAGACCGACCAAAGCCUCCAGUUUCCAGCAUCAAUCUCACAAACUCCAUAUAUAAGCUCUCCGGGACCUCUACAAACUCUUCCUCAAACAAGAACCCAGUGUCAUCACCAGGGGCCGGUCCCAAGAGCCCCUGUAAUCACUCCAAAACUGCCAACUCCUCAACACAUUCAAACAACACCACGUCGAAACUAAAGCGCACGUCCCCCAGCGAUGGAGAACCCCACACUAGUGACAUUAAGUCACCUGAAACAAAGAAAAAGAUUCAACAUAUCCCAUGGCCAUAAUCUGAGAAGUCAUCUAGGAUGGACGGUAAACGCCACUGACGUCGUCCGCUGGGUCUCUGAGGCAAAGAGAGACUCGUGAUGAGACAUGAAUUUGAAAGACGGGUUCUCCUCACUCAUCUUUACUCACCAGCGUCUGGAAAAAUGACUCUGGUUAAUUCCACACUCGGCAAUGCAUCGGCUUUUGGCUUGAUGUGUGAUGAAGGAACUGAGACAUUCCUAGCAGUUGUAUGUUAGACUGAUCAGUUUUUCCCUUUUUUAGCAAUAUGUUUAUAGAAAUAUAUUUUUUUGCAAUGAAAAAACUUUCUGUUGUGAGUGAAUCAUGUUGGCGAUUCUAAGAGGAGAUGGAUGGAAAAUGGACCUGUCUGUGUCAGAUGUCCGCUGUGUUUUACUGACAUGGGAGUAUUCAGAGUAACUACUGAGUGGCAUUUUGAAGAAAUCUCUUAUUUUGCCAAUAAAAUGUUUCCAUUUAUCAGUAUUUUAGAUCAGAUAGGCAUGUCCAAGCGCUUUGGGCGAUAUCAGGUCAAUUCCUUGCCAGUUUUUGUAUUUAUAGCCCCCAACAAGGCCAAAAUUCAGUCGUGAUGUGUGUUGCAUCAUGCAUUGAUGUAUUUCAGUGAGAGAGCAGUAUGAAGCGUGUUUCACUUUUUUUAGCGGUGGUCUUUUCUAGACAUUAUGAAUUGAGUUUUUAUUGAACUGCAUAGAAUGUUCCUCAGGGACAACAAGCCUGAUCAAAUAAAUGACAGAGCACUGA